GGCGGCCUUCUUCGUUGCACGCUUUUCCGAGGUAGCUCCCUUGAUCAGGCACUCAUGGCGAAGUUUUCCCAAGCAAAGCUGUUACCCAACACACGAACGAACCGGCGGAAACAUCUGUCAGCCAGAAAUAAAAAUCAUUCGACCGAAGUGGCCGGGCCCAGCAAGCGAUCGUUGGCCAUGAAGGAGAUCUGGCGAAAGAGAAAGCAGGCCUGGAUUCAAGCGGACCCUGGCAAAGCAACGCCUGCAGAGACCGCAACUUCAUCGAGUGAGCAGCAACGUGUAGGAUCAGCGUCACAGAGCCGCAAUUCUUCUCGGCACUACAACAGUAAAGGCAUUCACAUCGCCAGCAACCGGAACCUGUGCGAUUGCUUGAACUUGUCGUGUCCAGGGUGUCACUACCCCUGCCCCAAGUGUCGGUCACCAAAGUGCGGUCACAAGUGUCGCUGCUCUCGACAUUUUGUCUACGUGAAGAUAAAGGUUGAUGGUGCAAACGCAGUCAUCAAGAACCCGCUAUUGUGAUGUCCUCUUUUCGCCGCCUGCUCUGAAAGAACUGUGCAGCGCUUGACAUCCAGGGGGUCGUUUGUUUUCUUUUCAUCUUUCACGUGUAGAAAGUUCACAUGAAAUAAACAGUUUAAACAA
Molecule: long non-coding RNA, 639 nt
Organism: Ornithodoros turicata
Lineage: Eukaryota; Metazoa; Arthropoda; Arachnida; Ixodida; Argasidae
Exons: 3
Source: RefSeq, a predicted model, not a curated record